GAUGAAGAACGCAGCGAAAUGCGAUAAGUAAUGUGAAUUGCAGAAUUCAGUGAAUCAUCGAAUCUUUGAACGCACAUUGCGCCCGCCAGUAUUCUGGCGGGCAUGCCUGUUCGAGCGUCAUUUCAACCAUCAAGCCCCGGGCUUGUGUUGGGGACCUGCGGCUGCCGCAGGCCCUGAAAUGCAGUGGCGGGCUCGCUGUCACUCCGAGCGUAGUAGUUACAUCUCGCUCUGGGCGUGCUGCGGGUUCCGGCCGUUAAAAGCCUUAUUUACCCAAGGUUGACCUCGGAUCAGGUAGGAAGACCCGCUGAACUUAAGCAUAUCAAUAACGGAGGA
RNAcentral lists this unclassified non-coding RNA (333 nucleotides) under soil metagenome. RNAcentral describes it as "partial contains 5.8S ribosomal RNA, internal transcribed spacer 2, and large subunit ribosomal RNA". The stretch from base 1 to 120 matches the Rfam family "5.8S ribosomal RNA", at positions 35 to 154 of the family's 154-position model. The record is from RNAcentral.